GUUUCAAUUCCUCAUAGGCAGGCUAUCGGCUUUUUUCCUUCUCGAAAUAUUUCAGAACUGGCACGAG
Molecule: small RNA, 67 nt
Filed under: Acididesulfobacillus acetoxydans
Lineage: Bacteria; Bacillati; Bacillota; Clostridia; Eubacteriales; Peptococcaceae
Description: Peptococcaceae bacterium INE non-coding RNA
Source: RNAcentral